AAAGUCGUAACAAGGUAACCGUAGGUGAACCUGCGGUUGGAUCAUUAAUAAGAAAAGGAAUGGACUCCGGUCUACUCUGGCAAAUGAAAACCUUUUGUGAACCGUUCUGUCUCUGGCGGCCGGGUGGAAGCUAACUUUGUUUAGAUUCCAUCUGUCAGUUUGGGAAACCAAGCCGUGGACAAACCGCCAAUCACUUACUUCAACCCAUUGUUUAAUAUUUUGUCUAACAUUGCUUUGUAUAAAUAUACAAACAACUUUUGGCAACGGAUCUCUUGGCUCUC
RNAcentral lists this unclassified non-coding RNA (281 nucleotides) under Chytridiomycota sp. Its description in RNAcentral is "partial contains small subunit ribosomal RNA, internal transcribed spacer 1, and 5.8S ribosomal RNA". The stretch from base 1 to 47 matches the Rfam family "Eukaryotic small subunit ribosomal RNA", at positions 1785 to 1831 of the family's 1831-position model. The record is from RNAcentral. Lineage: Eukaryota; Fungi; Chytridiomycota.